GGGACACCCUCGGGGACAGGUGCCACCGCCUGGUCACACACCUGCUGCAGGCCGUGUCCCCGGACGAGGAGGACAUUUGGGGACUGGCGGCCACCCUGACCCGGCUCUCGGUGCUCUUCAGUGACCAUGACCUGACCCCCUGGGGGCUUUUCGGGCCCCUUUCGGAGCUCCUGAGGCGCCGCCUCGGGAACGGGGACGGAGACAACAGCGUGCCAGCACAGGUGGUGAUCCCGGCCAUCUCCUGCCUCUUCUUCCACUUCUUCUGGGAACUCUCCCGAGUUCCCGACUCCGGAGCCUCCCCGGAGGAUUUGCGGGACCUGCGCUCCCGGGCUCUCCUGCUG
Non-coding RNA from Taeniopygia guttata (zebra finch), 341 nucleotides. The record is from RefSeq and is a predicted model, not a curated record. Lineage: Eukaryota; Metazoa; Chordata; Aves; Passeriformes; Estrildidae.